This 379-nucleotide ribosomal RNA is filed under the name uncultured bacterium. RNAcentral describes it as "bacterial SSU rRNA". It matches the Rfam family "Bacterial small subunit ribosomal RNA", at positions 29 to 407 of the family's 1533-position model. The record is from RNAcentral.
AUUGAACGCUGGCGGCAUGCCUUACACAUGCAAGUCGAACGCGAAAGCGGGGCAACCCGCAAGUAGAGUGGCGAACGGGUGAGUAAUACAUCGGAACGUACCCAGUAGCGGGGGAUAACCUCUCGAAAGAGAAGCUAAUACCGCAUACGACCUAUGGGUGAAAGCGGGGGAGUCGCAAGACCUCGCACUAUUGGAGCGGCCGAUGUCGGAUUAGCUAGUUGGCGGGGUAACGGCCCACCAAGGCGACGAUCCGUAGCUGGUCUGAGAGGACGACCAGCCACACUGGAACUGAGACACGGUCCAGACUCCUACGGGAGGCAGCAGUGGGGAAGUUUUGGACAAUGGGCGGCAAGCCUGAUCCAGCCAUGCCGCGUGAGUG